AUACGGAGGGUGCGAGCGUUAAUCGGAAUUACUGGGCGUAAAGGGUGCGCAGGCGGCUUGAUAGGCGGAUGUCAAAGCCCCGGGCUUAAACUGGGAAUUGCAUUCGAUACUGUCAGGCUAGAGGAUGUCAGAGGUUGGCGGAAUUCCUAGUGUAGCGGUGAAAUGCGUAGAUAUCAGGAGGAACACCAGUGGCGAAGGCGGCUAACUGGGGCAAUACUGACGCUGAGGCACGAAAGCGUGGGGAGCAAACAGGAUUAGAAACCCUUGUAGUCC
RNAcentral lists this ribosomal RNA (273 nucleotides) under uncultured bacterium. RNAcentral describes it as "partial 16S ribosomal RNA". It matches the Rfam family "Bacterial small subunit ribosomal RNA", at positions 523 to 796 of the family's 1533-position model. The record is from RNAcentral.